AGCGAACGCUGGCGGCAGGCCUAACACAUGCAAGUCGAACGAACUCUUCGGAGUUAGUGGCGGACGGGUGAGUAACACGUGGGAACGUGCCUUUUGGUUCGGAAUAACUCAGGGAAACUUGUGCUAAUACCGAAUGUGCCCUUCGGGGGAAAGAUUUAUCGCCAUUAGAGCGGCCCGCGUCUGAUUAGCUAGUUGGUGAGGUAACGGCUCACCAAGGCGACGAUCAGUAGCUGGUCUGAGAGGAUGACCAGCCACACUGGGACUGAGACACGGCCCAGACUCCUACGGGAGGCAGCAGUGGGGAAUCUUGCGCAAUGGGCGAAAGCCUGACGCAGCCAUGCCGCGUGAAUGAUGAAGGUCUUAGGAUUGUAAAAUUCUUUCACCGGGACGAUAAUGACGGUACCCGGAGAAGAAGCCCCGGCUAACUUCGUG
RNAcentral lists this ribosomal RNA (432 nucleotides) under uncultured bacterium. Its description in RNAcentral is "partial 16S ribosomal RNA". It matches the Rfam family "Bacterial small subunit ribosomal RNA", at positions 29 to 507 of the family's 1533-position model. The record is from RNAcentral.